GCAGAACGCGAAGAACCUUACCAGGCCUUGACAUGCAGAGAACUUUCCAGAGAUGGAUUGGUGCCUUCGGGAACUCUGACACAGGUGCUGCAUGGCUGUCGUCAGCUCGUGUCGUGAGAUGUUGGGUUAAGUCCCGUAACGAGCGCAACCCUGUCCUUAGUUACCAGCACGUUAUGGUGGGCACUCUAAGGAGACUGCCGGUGACAAACCGGAGGAAGGUGGGGAGUGACGUCAAGUCAUCAUGGCCCUUACGGCCUGGGCUACACACGUGCUACAAUGGUCGGUACAGAGGGUUGCCAAGCCGCGAGGUGGAGCUAAUCUCACAAAACCGAUCGUAGUCCGGAUCGCAGUCUGCAACUCGACUGCGUGAAGUCGGAAUCGCUAGUAAUCGCGAAUCAGAAUGUCGCGGUGAAUACGUU
This 419-nucleotide ribosomal RNA is filed under the name uncultured bacterium. RNAcentral's name for it is "bacterial SSU rRNA". It matches the Rfam family "Bacterial small subunit ribosomal RNA", at positions 954 to 1372 of the family's 1533-position model. The record is from RNAcentral.